Non-coding RNA from Triticum aestivum (bread wheat), 74 nucleotides. NCBI's taxonomy places the organism in Eukaryota, Viridiplantae, Streptophyta, Magnoliopsida, Poales, Poaceae. The record is from Rfam.
GCAUCCAUGGCUGAAUGGUUAAAGCGCCCAACUCAUAAUUGGUAAAUUUGCGGGUUCAAUUCCUGCUAGAUGCA